RNAcentral lists this ribosomal RNA (253 nucleotides) under uncultured bacterium. RNAcentral describes it as "partial 16S ribosomal RNA". It matches the Rfam family "Bacterial small subunit ribosomal RNA", at positions 524 to 776 of the family's 1533-position model. The record is from RNAcentral.
UACGUAGGUGGCAAGCGUUACUCGGAAUCACUAGGCGUAAAGCGCAGGCAGGCGGUUCGGUAAGUCUUUUGUGAAAGCUCCUGGCUCAACUGGGAGAGGUCAAAGGAAACUACCGGGCUAGAGUUUGGUAGGGGAUACUGGAAUUCCUGGUGUAGCGGUGAAAUGCGUAGAUAUCAGGAGGAAUACCUAUGGCGAAAGCAGGUAUCUGGGCCACAACUGACGCUGAGCUGCGAAAGCUAGGGGAGCAAACAGG